GAUACGCACUAGGGGGGCUGCCGAAAGCGGUGGCUGAGAGGAUAUCAUAUCUGACCCUUUGAACCCGAACUGGAUAAUACCAGCGUGGGGAAGUGCAGUUCACAGUAU
This 108-nucleotide non-coding RNA is filed under the name Lentibacillus amyloliquefaciens. RNAcentral's name for it is "TPP sequence". It matches the Rfam family "TPP riboswitch aptamer (THI element)". From Rfam's summary of the family: Vitamin B(1) in its active form thiamin pyrophosphate (TPP) is an essential coenzyme that is synthesised by coupling of pyrimidine and thiazole moieties in bacteria. The previously detected thiamin-regulatory element, thi box was extended, resulting in a new, highly conserved RNA secondary structure, the THI element, which is widely distributed in eubacteria and also occurs in some archaea. Analysis of operon structures identified a large number of new candidate thiamin-regulated genes, mostly transporters, in various prokaryotic organisms. The record is from Rfam by way of RNAcentral. Lineage: Bacteria; Bacillati; Bacillota; Bacilli; Caryophanales; Bacillaceae.